CCCAGAGGCGGGAAGGCCCGGGGCUGCGAGCCGGUUGCGGGCGGGGCUGGCCUGGUCGCGGGAAGAGCUUGCCGCCUGCGUGGUUUGGGGACCGAUGCCCAUCCGGCCCGCGCGGCCUCGUCGUGCAGCCCGGGCGGAGAAGGCCUGCGCCUGCCUUCCUUCCUUCCUGACAGGUUAGGAGCGGAUUUGGGGGCGCAGGGAGCCAGGCGUGCUGGAAAGAACCUAGAAGAAACCGGAGGAACCUUCUAGAAUGUGUGUCUGAAUGAGCUCUGGGAACACGGACCAUACGGACCUCCUGGAAAAGUUGAAGAUGUGAGCCUUGGGUUAUGAAGCAUUAAAACACGGAGGUGACAGGGGAAAGGAAGUAGUGAGUGUCAGGCCAGGAUGGGGAAGUUGGAUCAUUUCUAGGGCUUCCGGAUUCUGGGCUUCACAGGCCUGCAGCCCCUUAAAAUGUUUGAAGUUCCCGCGAUAUCAAAUGCACCCAAAACGAAGGAACUGCAACACCUGCCAAAGACAAGAUAUCAGUCCUGUGUCUUCUCUGUCGUUUGGGGUUGUCUGUUUUACUCUUUCUCUCCAUCCGCAUGUCAAGUUGCCUUUUUUGUUUGUUUGUUUUUUAAUGUUUAGAUGUUUUUGAGAGUGUGUGUGUGUGUGUGUGUGUGACACAGCAAGGGAGGGGUGGAGGGGGGGACAGCCCCAAGCAGGCGCCACGUUGCCAGCGGUGGAGCCCAACAUGGGGCUUGAACCCGUGAACUGUGAGCUCAUGACCUGAGCCAAAAGCGAGAAUCUGAUGCUUAACCAGCUGGGCCACCCACGCACCCUGUCAGGUUGCUUUCUCUGAGAGGGUUUCUUCCGCCUAAACUGACACAUGGACGACACUGACCUGAUUCCACGCUUGCAUCCUUGGAGGCACUCUGGCCUGUGCCCUGGACAGGUCUGGAGGGAGCCUGACGUGGAGCAGAAAGAACCCAGCAGAGAAUAGAAUACUUCCUCCCACUCCAGAAAGGAGCAGUUCUCCAAGCCAGUGUCUUCCGUGUUGCAGAAAAUCAGGUUAGACGAUGGUCAAUGAAGCUGACUAGCCAACGAUGUCCAUGAAUAAACAGAGCCUCACGCUCCCGCCAUUUUAUACUUCGUUACUUCAGAUGUCCCAAGGCCUGCGGUCUUACCCUUGGUGAAGCUGGUUUAGAGGAAGAGAGAGCCAAAGGGAAAGAAAGGGAACCGUGUCAUAGGUUUGGCUCAGCGCUCUCUGUUUUACCAAAUCCUUAACUGCUGUGGGCCGAAAAACCGAGACGGAGAGAAUUUAUACGUGACCUAAGUUAGAACAUAAGUCAAGUCAGUAUAUAUCAAGGACACAAUGUGACCUCGGAUCUCUCUGAACACAAAGAAGGCUUUUACCAAGAGUAUCUUCAGCAUGUUGAGAUUGCGGGCUGCUGUCAGGAUGUCUGACUUUUUCUCUGCACCUCCGUCCCUUCUCAGAUGUCCUUCUGAUGAGCUUCCCAUGAAACUGGAAUGUUCUACUUCAUCUCAAGAACUAAGAGUGAGGAAGGUUCACAGACAAGAUUGCGUUAAAUUCUUCUUGUCCCUUUUUCCCAGUAUUACACGUGAACGGGUCCAGUGCGGAAGGAGGAAAGCCCAGCCAGGCCGCGGGAUUUAAGGAUUUUCAGCCUGUGGAUUCAGGAAGUAGAAGUCUUAAUUUUUAGAGCCUCUCUGUCAGGCACUUUACAGCUUCCUCUUCUAAGUGCUAAGUGCCAUAAAUCUCUGGACGGCCGGUCUCCAAACUCACAUGUAAACGGUCCUGCACACGAGCAGCAAUGGCCACCGACACAAGUGAGUGACCCAUAAAUAAGGCUCACGUGUGGUCCUCGGCUGUCCCAGUCCACUGUCCAUCCACAGGUGCGGCCCUGGGCGUCUGGGGCAGAUGGCCGCACCUGCACACUUUCUGGGCACGGCGGCUGGCAGAAAGGGAGGCCCGAUGCGACAGCACUGCUGCGGGCCUGCCUUUGUCCGGGUGCUUCUACGGUGCGGGCGGCCUUGACGACGUGUCAUCCGAGAGUGGCCGUCUGAGGCUGGGGUCCCUGGGCAGCAGCCUCGGGGGGAAUUAAGGGUUGGCUCUGUGCGGGCCCUUGCCCACUGAUGGUGAUUUAACCACGUGAAGUGGCCCUCCCGAGGCUGUCUCUGUUGGCUCCGGGAGCGUGCGAGAGCCACUGUCUUAGGACCUGCUGCAGACUUGUCUAGGACUCCUGCAUGAGGACAAGGUAAGCGGAGGAGGACCUCAAAAGAGAAGGUCGCAUUGUACGGGGCAGGGGCCUGCACGUUUUUUUCUGCGAAAGGCUGGAUAGUAAAUAUCCAGUUUCAACUACUCAGCUCCUCCGCGGCACGGAAGCCGCCACACGCUGUGCCCGAGUGAGGGGGCCCAGCUGCAGUUUGGUAAAACUUCAUUUACCAAAAGAGAGGGUAUGUGGGAUUUGGCGCCCAGGCCUACUUUGCUGACCCCCAGGAUAGGAGGAGGAGCAGAAAGGCAGCCGGUAAGAUCCAGACCUAAUCCCUGUUCUGCCGCGUGCCAGAUCUGAGACCUUAGAUGUUACUUUUCUCUGAGCCUGUUUCCUCAUUAGUAAAAGGGAGUUCACAGUAUCUGCCCGUUAGACUUCUAAUGACGCACGCAGAGCUCCUAGCGUACUACCUGGCACAGAGUGGGCAGGCGGUAAAUAUAGGGCUUUCCAUCCAAGCACCCGCAGUUCUGGGGGGAGUCCGGCUGUAGGUGCCUCAGUGCUCUGUUGCCUUCAUAGUCUUUGAUGGUCCUCUUUUGCCUCAUUUGUUGGACCUGGCUCAGAGCGAAUGAAGUCUCUUUCACCCCAUUUGUAUUUUAAAAGUAGGUCUUUCCAAAUUCACUGACAUGUUAUUUCAAACGGCCUGGCAGCAUUCAGGGCUUUGUGGAGUCCCCUGGCAAUUUUACUGCACCAGAACAUUGCCUACCCCAAAAUUUUUAAAUUAUGGUGGAAUGCAAAACAGAUGUACCAAAUCUAGGGAGGACUAGAGCAACAUUAAUUUGUUCCUUGGGAAUGCCCUUCAUAAGCACGUUUUGGGGCAGACAUUUGUGAUAAAAGCCAGGCAAUAAAAGAUCCCAGCGUGUUCUAAACACUGCAAUUUUUGCAAUUUGUGUCAAAGAAAAUUUGGAAGGCACAGAUAACUGAAACAGAGCUGACUAAAUUUAUGGCUCAACCUUUCACUGAAAUAUCUGUGUUUGGAAGAUGUCACUGAUCAGAGAAAUGAGAAUGUGGGUGGAAAAAAAUUAGUAUUCAGACGGGUGGAGCUCUGAACUAUGACACUGAUCGAUACUUAGUUAUUUAGAAUAUGAACUGGGGCCAGGUUUCUGCUUGGGUCUCUUCAAGGUGGCUGGCUUCACGUUGCAUUGCAAAUACCAAUGUGAAAACAGAGUACUAAACUUAAAGUAGUGUUUUCAGAAAAACUGUUUAAAAAAAUUUUUUUAAAGUUUAUUCUUAAAUAGGUAUAGAGACAGAGCAUGAGCAGGGGAAGGGGAGAGAGAGGAGGAGACACAGAAUCCAAAGCAGGCCCCAGGCUCUGAGCUGUUAGCACAGAGCCCCACGCGGGGCUUGAACUCACAGACCAUGAGAUCAUGACCUGAGCCAAAGUCGGAUGCUUAACCAACUGAGCCACCCAGGCGCCCCCAGAAAAGCUGACUUUUAUAUACAAGGUUGUGAUUUUAAGUACACUGAGCUUCAAAGUAGGAAAAAAAUACACGGAUAGAGAAAAAGUGCAGUAGAGUAAUACUUAGUGUGAAGGCCACUAAGAUAUUGGCCUGGGGCGCCCAGGUGGCUCAGUUGGUUAAGCAUCUGACUCUUGGUUUCAGCUCAGGUCAUGAUCUCAUGGUUUGAGUUUGAGCCCCAUGUUGGGCUCUGUGCUGACAGCAAGGGGCCUGCCUGGGAUUCUCUCUCUCCCUCUGUCUCAUCUGCCCCUCCCCUGUUCAAGGUCCCUCCCUCCCUCCCUCCCUUUCUCUGUCUCUCUUUCUCUGUCUGUCUCUGUCUCUCUCUCUCUCUCUCUCUCACUCUCAAAAUAAAUGAAUAAACUUAAAAAAAGAUACUGGUCUGAGAACUAGGCUGAGCCCACAUUGUCAGCUAUAAUACAUUACAUCCUUGUGGGUCAUAUGAUCCAGAAAAGAACUAUUUGUGGCACAAGGAGAAAAUUACUUCUUUCGGCAAAUCUGAAAUUUCAUAUCCCCCAAGAUGUACUUGUUAUACUUUUCCUUGUAAGAAAUGAAUCUGAUCGAAAUCUCUCUUGACCCUAUAGAGUUAUAAUCUUCUGGGUAAAACUGACCUACUUUUUAUCUAAUUCUAUGCUACCACUUCUAUAGAAAACGAACUGUGCCAGACAAGAAACGCGUCCUGUGUUAGCGCAGUUGUACAUCAAGACGUGCUUUCAAAUCAGGACAAAUGUUUGGCUUAUGAAAAAGACGAAUGGCUCACCAAGCCAGAAUGUAAACAUUUCCUGUAGCUUUGUUACUUACUAAUAACUUGACGUUUUCUUGCUAGGUUUUUAUUUUAUAAACCAGAGAAGGAAACAGAUUCCAAUGGUACUAAAUAACAAUGCCAUGAAAGUUGUAAUACCAUGAUGUCGAUGAUGCACCGGAAGGUUAUGUCUAACUUUUUUUGGUAAAAAAUAAUAAAGAAUGCAUUUACUAUAUUUUGUUUUGUCCAAAUGCAGUGGUUUGUGUGGUUGAGCUCAUGCCAUGUGUAAAAUUACGUAGUGUUUUCAAGAUUUGUAUUUUGAAGUAAUCUGCAAUUAACAGCAAGUUUUAAAGAUAGUGCAGAGAGGUCCUGUGUACCCGCACCCAGUUUCCCCCAACGGCUGUAUCAUAUUUAAAUAUGGUACAAUAGCAAAACCAGGAAACUGAUGUUUGUAAGAUGUGGGUGUGGGCAUCUAACCCAUUUUAUCCCGUGUGUGUUUUCAUGUAACUGCCACUGCAAUCCAGAUACAGAACGGUUCCCUUACCCAGAGCACUCUCUCCUGCCGUUCCUUUAGAGCCACACUUAUGUCCCCACCCGCCACCACUCCUUAUCUCUGGCAACCAGUAAUUUGUUCUCUGUCUCGGUACUUUCAUUGUUUCAAAGCUAAAUGGAACCAUAUUUGUAAAUGGAAUCUCAUGUCAUGUAAAUUUUUUAUAUUUUUUAUAAAUCAAUAUAAUGUUCCUGCAUAUAGUUGGGCCUUGUUGUUUCUUUGGAAGUGCUAGGCCCAUUGAUUCAGCACUUCUGAGAAGGAAAGCCUGAGGCACAGUACAUUUCUAAUUGGUCUUUUGUUUCAAAAUCCUUGGACUGGGAUGGGGGAGGCAGCAUCUCUAAACACAGUACAAUAUCGUGAGGUAGCCCACUCCCCCUUUUUGUUCAGAUACAAAGGAAAGGUUACCAACCUGAAGUUACAUAAGGGAAAAAAUAGCCUCUGAAGAUAGCAGUGAGAAUCUGAGGGUAAUGGCCCAUUGUUUUCAUAAUUCUCUCAAUUCUUGCAAAGAGGAAGGAACUCUUUCAAUUAUUAAGCUUCUUAUUAAAUUGAAUGACCAGAAAACAAGUUAAUGCUAAUUGCGUCUUCUGGUUAGACCUGAAGUCUUGGCCAUUGUUAACACCCCUCGAUCAUUCAGAAUCAUAUCCAUAUAAGCAAAUUAAUAUAAAUCCUAUUCAUGUACAUUUCCUCCCUCCAUCUUUCUUUUCUUUCUCCCUUUCCCAUCAUCCAUCUUCCUUAAUUUUUCUCUCCCUUCCCUCCUUCUGUCGUUUUCUUCUUCCCUCUCUCCCUCCAUCCUUCUUUCCUCCUUGUUUUCUCUCCAUUGUAUUUUUGUCCAAUUUGCCUUUUUCCCCCCAGAAUUGCCCUUAGUUCCACAGUCACUAACAUUUCUUAGUCCCAAGGGUAGGGAGAGUCACCUAGCCCAGUGCUUCUCAAACAUCAGCGUGCCCACAAAUGACCUGUGUGUCUUGUGGAAAUGUGGAUCUUAUCUCAGGAGCUCUGGGGCAAGCCUGGGAAUCUGCAUUCUUGACAGGCUCCUAGUGUGUGGACCACACAGAGAGCAAAGACGGAUGAUGAGACCUUCCCCCACGCCAGCACCCUUGUGAUGUUCAAACACUAUUCCUUUCCCUUCGGUGUGGAGAAGGCACCAAGGAGGUGGCUGGGCAAGAGUGGUGAGGUUUUGCGUUGCGGUGGGGUUUGGAGCUGACGGCCAAGAAAGAAUUCUCGAAGACAUCUUUGGUGCAGGCAUAUUGUAUUAAAGCACGGGGACGGGACCCGUGGGCAGAAAGCGUUGCACUGGGGUUGUGAGGAGUGACUGGUGAUAUACUGUGGGGUUGGGGGAGGGAAAGGCACAAGGGAGGCCUCCAGAAGGACUUUCAUGUGCUAAUGAGGACUCCUGAGAUACCUGAGGCCCAGGGAUUGGCAAACUGGGGUUGUUUUUCCCUCUCACAAAGCGUUGUCCUUAAGACAGUAGGGAGUUUCUGGAGAUGAGGCUAUUGAUAAGAUUACCCUUUUCUUAUAAUUUGUUAAGGUAUUUGUAAACUGAUGGAGAGUCUUAUCAGUUUGACCAUUUGUUUUCUGUCCUUCCCUUUGUCCUUGGACUGCCAGGAGCGCCUGAGGACUAUCACACUGGUCCCACCUGGGGGUGAGGGAUGUGCCAGCUUGUACUUUGCCCUCAGCCUGCCUUAUGGCCCCUCAUCAAGGAAUCCAGCAGGCGACUGGCCGAGGGGAUGAAAGGAACAGCCAGGAGACGAGGCCUUCACGGAACUCUGGGUGGGGACCCCGGAGCGGUCUCUGGGCUCCCACGCUGCCAGCAGGUUGGUGGUCUCCACGUGUGCACUUCCCCAUUGUUAACUCUUUUAACCAUUCCCGGAUCCCUCCGUGGGACCCACAGACGUCCAGUCAAACCAUCUUUGAGGAGUUAAAGAGACAUCUUGUCCAUCAGGAUCAAGAGUUUCUCCAUUUGAAUGCAGACCGCCCUCCACGAUUCAUGCUGAGGUCACUUAGAGAAAAAGAAGAAAGACUGAAAAAUCCAGCUGACUGUUGCCAAGGGAGGUAUCAGUGAGCCACCCGGUGUGACCACCACAACUUUGGCAUGAGUUUCUAUUGACUCAGCACUUGGUUUUCUUCGUGCUGCUUGGAUUAUGCUGUCAAAGGCCAGCCCCCCUGUGGCCCAUCCAAACUGGUGGCAGCAGGCACAGCCUUUGACAUUUCAAGUCCACGUGACAGAGCAAUACUUAAACUCCAGAAAUAGAAAGUUGUCUGGACGACACCCCUUUCCCGUCGAUACAGUGAUAGCGUCUUACGUUUCUUUACUGUAAGACUUCAUAUUCGCCUUUCUUCAUAUUAACAACACAACCGUGUUGUGGUUGAUGCAGUUUGCAAAUGAUUAUAAAAUA
Long non-coding RNA from Panthera uncia (snow leopard), 7403 nucleotides. RefSeq lists it as uncharacterized. Lineage: Eukaryota; Metazoa; Chordata; Mammalia; Carnivora; Felidae. The transcript has 3 exons. The record is from RefSeq and is a predicted model, not a curated record.